Molecule: transfer RNA, 82 nt
Filed under: Bacteroidota bacterium
Lineage: Bacteria; Pseudomonadati; Bacteroidota
Description: tRNA-Leu
Rfam family: tRNA
About the family: Transfer RNA (tRNA) molecules are approximately 80 nucleotides in length. Their secondary structure includes four short double-helical elements and three loops (D, anti-codon, and T loops).
Source: RNAcentral
GCGAAUGUGGCGGAACAGGCAGACGCGCCGGAUUUAGGAUCCGGUGGGGUAACCCGUGGGGGUUCGACUCCCCCCAUUCGCA